Molecule: ribosomal RNA, 253 nt
Filed under: uncultured bacterium
Lineage: Bacteria
Description: partial 16S ribosomal RNA
Rfam family: Bacterial small subunit ribosomal RNA
Source: RNAcentral
UACGGGGGGGGCAAGCGUUGUUCGGAAUUACUGGGCGUAAAGGGCUCGUAGGCGGCCAACUAAGUCAGACGUGAAAUCCCUCGGCUUAACCGGGGAACUGCGUCUGAUACUGGAUGGCUUGAAUCCGGGAGAGGGAUGCGGAAUUCCAGGUGUAGCGGUGAAAUGCGUAGAUAUCUGGAGGAACAUCGGUGGCGAAGGCGGCAUCCUGGACCGGCAUUGACGCUGAGGAGCGAAAGCGUGGGUAGCAAACAGG